UGGGGAAUUUUGGACAAUGGGCGAAAGCCUGAUCCAGCAAUGCCGCGUGUGUGAAGAAGGCCUUCGGGUUGUAAAGCACUUUUGUCCGGAAAGAAAUCCUUGGUUCUAAUAUAGCCGGGGGAUGACGGUACCGGAAGAAUAAGCACCGGCUAACUACGUGCCAGCAGCCGCGGUAAUACGUAGGGUGCGAGCGUUAAUCGGAAUUACUGGGCGUAAAGCGUGCGCAGGCGGUUUGCUAAGACCGAUGUGAAAUCCCCGGGCUCAACCUGGGAACUGCAUUGGUGACUGGCAGGCUAGAGUAUGGCAGAGGGGGGUAGAAUUCCACGUGUAGCAGUGAAAUGCGUAGAGAUGUGGAGGAAUACCGAUGGCGAAGGCAGCCCCCUGGGCCAAUACUGACGCUCAUGCACGAAAGCGUGGGGAGCAAACAGGAUUAGAUACCCUGGGUAGUCCACGCCCUAAACGAUGUCAACUAGUUG
Molecule: ribosomal RNA, 476 nt
Filed under: uncultured bacterium
Lineage: Bacteria
Description: partial 16S ribosomal RNA
Rfam family: Bacterial small subunit ribosomal RNA
Source: RNAcentral